GCCGGUUUAGCUCAGUUGGUAGAGCAGCGCACUUGUAAUGCGAAGGUCGAGGGUUCAACUCCUUUAACCGGCA
RNAcentral lists this transfer RNA (73 nucleotides) under Eoetvoesiella caeni. Its description in RNAcentral is "Pusillimonas sp. PB3-7B tRNA". It matches the Rfam family "tRNA". From Rfam's summary of the family: Transfer RNA (tRNA) molecules are approximately 80 nucleotides in length. Their secondary structure includes four short double-helical elements and three loops (D, anti-codon, and T loops). RNAcentral also lists the same sequence under 3 other names. Lineage: Bacteria; Pseudomonadati; Pseudomonadota; Betaproteobacteria; Burkholderiales; Alcaligenaceae. The record is from Rfam by way of RNAcentral.